RNAcentral lists this ribosomal RNA (503 nucleotides) under uncultured bacterium. RNAcentral's name for it is "partial 16S ribosomal RNA". It matches the Rfam family "Bacterial small subunit ribosomal RNA", at positions 30 to 523 of the family's 1533-position model. The record is from RNAcentral.
AUUGAACGCUGGCGGCAGGCUUAACACAUGCAAGUCGAGCGGGGUGAUGGUGCUUGCACUAUCACUUAGCGGCGGACGGGUGAGUAAUGCUUAGGAAUCUGCCUAUUAGUGGGGGACAACAUCUCGAAAGGGAUGCUAAUACCGCAUACGUCCGACGGGAGAAAGCAGGGGAUCACUUGUGACCUUGCGCUAAUAGAUGAGCCUAAGUCGGAUUAGCUAGUUGGUGGGGUAAAGGCCUACCAAGGCGACGAUCUGUAGCGGGUCUGAGGGGAUGAUCAGCCACGCUGGGGCUGAGACACGGCCCAGACUCCUACGGGAGGCAGCAGUGGGGAAGAUUGGACAACGGGGGGAACCCUGAUCCAGCCAGGCGGCGUGUGGGAAGAAGGCCUUAUGGUUGUAAAGCACUUUAAGCGAGGAGGAGGCUCUUUUGGUUAAUACCCAAGAUGAGUGGACGUUACUCGCAGAAUAAGCACCGGCUAACUCUGUGCCAGCCGCCGCAGUAA